AGUCGAACGAUGAACCUCCUUCGGGAGGGGAUUAGUGGCGAACGGGUGAGUAACACGUGGGCAAUCUGCCCUGCACUCUGGGACAAGCCCUGGAAACGGGGUCUAAUACCGGAUACUGACCCGCUUGGGCAUCCAAGCGGUUCGAAAGCUCCGGCGGUGCAGGAUGAGCCCGCGGCCUAUCAGCUUGUUGGUGAGGUAAUGGCUCACCAAGGCGACGACGGGUAGCCGGCCUGAGAGGGCGACCGGCCACACUGGGACUGAGACACGGCCCAGACUCAUACGGGAGGCAGCAGUGGGGAAUAUUGCACAAUGGGCGAAAGCCUGAUGCAGCGACGCCGCGUGAGGGAUGACGGCCUUCGGGUUGUAAACCUCUUUCAGCAGGGAAGAAGCGAAAGUGACGGUACCUGCAGAAGAAGCGCCGGCUAACUACGUGCCAGCAGCCGCGGUAAUACGUAGGGCGCGAGCGUUGUCCGGAAUUAUUGGGCGUAAAGAGCUCGUAGGCGGCUUGUCACGUCGGUUGUGAAAGCCCGGGGCUUAACCCCGGGUCUGCAGUCGAUACGGGCAGGCUAGAGUUCGGUAGGGGAGAUCGGAAUUCCUGGUGUAGCGGUGAAAUGCGCAGAUAUCAGGAGGAACACCGGUGGCGAAGGCGGAUCUCUGGGCCGAUACUGACGCUGAGGAGCGAAAGCGUGGGGAGCGAACAGGAUUAGAUACCCUGGUAGUCCACGCCGUAAACGGUGGGCACUAGGUGUGGGCGACAUUCCACGUCGUCCGUGCCGCAGCUAACGCAUUAAGUGCCCCGCCUGGGGAGUAC
The sequence is a ribosomal RNA, 811 nucleotides long. It matches the Rfam family "Bacterial small subunit ribosomal RNA", at positions 60 to 883 of the family's 1533-position model.